Molecule: non-coding RNA, 291 nt
Organism: Vicia faba (fava bean)
Lineage: Eukaryota; Viridiplantae; Streptophyta; Magnoliopsida; Fabales; Fabaceae
Source: the annotation of a GenBank genome assembly
AUGGGUUGGACAGGAGAAGAGAAUAGACGUUUUGAGGAUGCACUUGCUGUGUUUGGUCCAGAAGAUCCAAACCGAUGGCAACAUGUGGCUAACGCUGUUGGUGGAAAAUCAAUAAAGGAAGUUCAAAUGCAUUAUGAAAUCCUCAAAGAAGAUCUCAUUCGAAUUGAACGUGAUCAAGUUCCACUACCCACUUACCGAGGAGGAGGUUCUUCUGGUAUCAAUAUCAACAACUCUCGAAGACAAUUAAUUACCGAUGAACAAAGGAGAAUGAGGAAUCUUAAUAUCCGUUGA